CUACGGGACGCUCCAGUGAGGAAUAUUGCACAAUGGGGGGAACCCUGAUGCAGCAACGCCGCGUGGAGGAUGACGCAUUUCGGUGUGUAAACUCCUUUUAUAUGUCAAGAAAAUGACGGUAGCAUAUGAAUAAGCACCGGCUAACUCCGUGCCAGCAGCCGCGGUAAUACGGAGGGUGCAAGCGUUACUCGGAAUCACUGGGCGUAAAGGACGCGUAGGCGGGUUGGAAAGUCAGGUGUGAAAUCCUACAGCUUAACUGUAGAACUGCACUUGAAACUUCUAAUCUAGAGUAUGGGAGAGGGAGAUGGAAUUAGUGGUGUAGGGGUAAAAUCCGUAGAUAUCACUAGGAAUACCUAAAGCGAAGGCGAUCUCCUGGAACAUUACUGACGCUGAGGCGUGAAAGCGUGGGGAGCAAACAGGAUUAGAUACCCCAGUAGUC
Molecule: ribosomal RNA, 439 nt
Filed under: uncultured bacterium
Lineage: Bacteria
Description: partial 16S ribosomal RNA
Rfam family: Bacterial small subunit ribosomal RNA
Source: RNAcentral